Molecule: long non-coding RNA, 1668 nt
Organism: Betta splendens (Siamese fighting fish)
Lineage: Eukaryota; Metazoa; Chordata; Actinopteri; Anabantiformes; Osphronemidae
Exons: 2
Source: RefSeq, a predicted model, not a curated record
GUGUGUUUGUGUGUGUGUGUGUGUGUGUGUGUGUGCGUGUGUGUGCGUGCGUGUGUGUGUGCGCAUGAAAUUAUACAGCAAUCAUCUGAAGACAUUUCAGGACGACGGAAAUACAACAAUCUCCAUUGAGCCCUGACAACAGACUCAGGAUGUCCAUCUGCCUCCACCGGCUUGGGUCAAACACAACAUGCUAAGAAAACUGCCUCAACUCAUGCUCUUCUUGUGUAGAGGACACACAUCACGUCUUCUAAUAUAACGUCUGUGCCUGUUGUGGAAACGAACUCAGCCAUCGCUUCCCAACAUUGUGAAGUUGAGCCAGAAGUGCACUUUAAAAUGAAAAGUGUGAGAAAGGCGCAGUGGAUGUGGCGUCGUGACGACACAAUGGACCCAUUCUUUGCAGCGCUGAAGUGCAACAUCCUUCCUUUUGUUUUCCCCCACGGCUUGUUUUUGUGAAUGAGCGACUGGGUUGAAUCAAGCACCUGCAGCAGAAGCAGGACCAGUGAAAACACAGGUGCUGGAGCAAACGCAGCUCAGGGGAACUUGGACUCAACAAUCACACAGUGGCUUCAUUAAACUUCACUGAUCCUUUAUGACGUUGGUGAGACGGACUCUCAGACUCUGGAUGCAUCCGUGUGCAGCGCAUGCAGUCAAGCAGGGGCGGGGUUCAUCUGUACUGGUUUUACUGAUCGCUCCACAGUCUCCAUCUCGUAAACCCGUUCUCAUUGGAGCGACACCUUCUCUCCACCCUGGAGCGAAACAGUGAACACUGAUGUCAUUCAGUCUAAACUGCAUUCUUUUAGCUUUGGUGACCAAAGAGAAACCAUCCGUUCCUAACUGUUAGAAACCAGUAAGACCAGUAUAAACUCACCAUAGCACCUGUUUGACACUCCCCCACAAAGACCUUUAACUAGCAUUAGUCUCUAGGCCUUAAAAUGGUGCCAGGUCUGUGCUGUUCUUCACAGCGUGGAUGGAGGACGUCUAAAGCAGAGACUGAGGAUCAACAGUGGCUCUGUCUCAUCCUCCAAUAGGUUUGACUGUAUGUUGGUUUACAUGUAUUUUCUGUAAUAUUUACAAUAUUUCAAUUUUCUGCCACAAUUUGAAAAAUGAAUGUCAUGGAUUCUAUAAAUGAAAGCAUUUCUUUGUCUGGACCCAGUUCUUAUGGCAUUCAGCCUCCGUGCCGCUAGGGGCGCUCCUGUGUUUUGUGUGUCAUCACCUGAGUUCGUCUCCUGUAUUCAGUCGACCCACCUGUUAGUAUUGAAGUCAUGCCUUUUGUUUUCACGCUGCUGGUGUGUUGAGCUGUGAACACGGUCAAGCGAAGUUACAGGUUUAAAGAGAGGAGCUUUUUGGAUGGAGUUGAGUUUUGGUUCCCUUUGAUGUCCUGUUCCCUGUGAAGGUUUCACACUGAGAUCAGUGGUUUGUAUUUUACUGUCCACUGUGUUGUGACUGAUUGGACGUGUUCAUGUACUUGGUUGCGAGUUGUAUUGUUUGAAGGCAAAAUGAGUUUUUGCUGCGUAUUUCAGGUCUUCCACUCUCUGAUGCUACAGGUAGUUUGAUAAGACUGGUAAAUCACACUGAGAAGAAGACAAACUGAUAAACAGCGUGUAACCAUGGCAACCUUGGAGGAUUGUUAGCCUGUAAUGAAAAUAAACAAUGCCUGCUUCCACGGGA